UAGAGUUUGAUCCUGGCUCAGAUUGAACGCUGGCGGUAUGCUUAACACAUGCAAGUCGAACGGAAACGAUACUAGCUUGCUAGUAGGCGUCGAGUGGCGGACGGGUGAGUAACGCGUAGGAAUCUACCAGAUAGUGGGGGAUAGCCCGGAGAAAUUCGGAUUAAUAUCGCAUAAUCUCUACGGAGUAAAGGAGGCCUCUAUUUAUAUGCUUUCGCUAUCUGAUGAGCCUGCGUAAGAUUAGCUAGUUGGUGAGGUAAAAGCUCACCAAGGCGACGAUCUUUAGCUGGUCUGAGAGGAUGAUCAGCCACACUGGGACUGAGACACGGCCCAGACUCCUACGGGAGGCAGCAGUGGGGAAUAUUGGACAAUGGGGGCAACCCUGAUCCAGCAAUACCGCGUGUGUGAAGAAGGCCUGAGGGUUGUAAAGCACUUUCAAUUGUGAAGAAAAGUUAAUAGUUAAUAACUA
This 466-nucleotide ribosomal RNA is filed under the name uncultured marine bacterium. RNAcentral describes it as "bacterial SSU rRNA". It matches the Rfam family "Bacterial small subunit ribosomal RNA", at positions 1 to 470 of the family's 1533-position model. The record is from RNAcentral.